AUGGAAGCCCGAGAGUCAGCCCCAAAAAUGUAUUGGGGGGGGGGGGGGCUCACAGGGAGUAUGGCUAUGCCAGGUAGGAGACCUGUGCAAACUCCCUGUGGUUACCGGGGGGCAAGAGAGACCGGGCAGGCACCGUGUUAUGCGGUGGAGCGCACGGUGUCCCCAGUGCGGGUGCACAGCCCGGUGCGGUACAUUCCAGCUCCGCGUAUCGGCCGGGCUAGAGUGGGCAUCGAGCCAAGUGCCAUGAAGCCGGCUCUACGCAUCUGGUCUCCAGUGCGUCUCCUUGGGCCGGCUUACAUGGCACCAACCUUGCGCACGGUGUCCCCGGUUUGCCUGCAUAGCCCAGUGCGGGCUAUUCCACCUCGCCGCACUGGCAGGGCGACCGGGACCAUUCAACCGGGUAAGGUUGGGCAGGCUCGGUGCUCAAGAGCUCCAGUGCGCCUGCACGGCCCGGUCUAUCCGUCACCACCUCCACGCACCAGCCCUCCGGUGGCAGCCCCCCGCACCAGGCUGUCUCUCCGGCCCAUCCUUACAGGGGCUCCCUCCUCUCCAGUGCUGCCGGAGCCUCCCGCCUGUCUGGCGCCGCUGCCGGAGCCUCCCGCCUGUCCGGAGCCUCCCGCCUGUCCGGCGCCGCUGCCGGAGCCUCCCGCCUGUCCGGAGCUUCCCGCCUGUCCGGAGCUUCCCGCCUGUCCGGAGCCUCCCGCCUGUCCGGCGCUGCUGCCGGAGCCUCCCGCCUGUCCGGAGCCUCCCGCCUGUCCGGCGCCGCUGCCGGAGCCUCCCGCCUGUCCGGCGCCGCUGCCGGAGUCUGAGGCGCCAGAGCCCCUCAGCCCAGAGGCGCCAGAGCUUCUGCCCCUCUGUCCAGAGCUUCUGCCCCUCUGUCCAGAGCUUCUGCCCCUCUGUCCAGAGCUUCUGCCCCUCUGUCCAGAGCUUCUGCCCCUCUGUCCAGAGCUUCCGCCCCUCUGUCCAGAGCUUCCGCCCCUCUGUCCCGAGCUGCCCCUCUGUCCAGUGGGGUCAUUGAGAGGGGUGGCCAUGGUUAGAAAGCCACGGAGGCGGACAAUGAGGCGGACUAAGACAAUGGUUAAGUGGGGUCCGCGUCCCGCGCCAGAGCCGCCACCGCGGACAGACGCCCACCCAGACCCUCCCCUAUAG
RNAcentral lists this long non-coding RNA (1149 nucleotides) under Oncorhynchus kisutch (coho salmon). RNAcentral describes it as "lncRNA (ENSOKIG00005004208.1)". Lineage: Eukaryota; Metazoa; Chordata; Actinopteri; Salmoniformes; Salmonidae. The record is from RNAcentral.